Molecule: long non-coding RNA, 1243 nt
Filed under: Homo sapiens (human)
Lineage: Eukaryota; Metazoa; Chordata; Mammalia; Primates; Hominidae
Description: HSALNT0338504
Source: RNAcentral
GCUCUCUGGUCUCUGGAGAUGAGGCGGGAGGACUUGGGGACAGCUGUGGGGACACGGCCCAGAUGCUCUGGUCCCAGCAGAAGUGACUGGCGGGGACCAGGAUGCUGGAGGGUCAGCUCGAGGCCGGGUAGCCCAAGGAGGGCACCCACCCAGAAGACCCGUGCCCGGGAGCUGGGGCUGCCAUGGAGAAGACACCUGCAGCAGCCGAGGUCCCCAGGGAGGACAGCAAUGCCGGGGAGAUGCCGGAGAAGGCACCAGACUUUAAAAACUUCAUUAACGAAAAUCAGAAGGUUGACAUGCCUCACAUCAUCCCAGCAAGCUUCCUGAUUUUUACCCCUUCCUCACAUCAUCCCAGCAAGCUUCCUGAUUUUUAGCUCCUUCCUCACCAGACCCUGUUGGACAGUGCUUGCUCUCAAGAAAGUGCCAUGGGUCCCUGUGGCCAGAGCCAUGCAGUGAAGGGCUGUACCUCUAUCACGAUCCCACUUAUUCUCAGAGCAAGGCUGGAGGCUCUACGGUCCAAUGAAGGAUGCCAGGGGAAGGCUAACAUGUCAGGUUGAAAAUGCAGUGGCUUCCAUAAUUUUUAAACUGUUGACCACACAUCCAUGCCACCAUGGUGUUUGAGACCAGCCUGGCCAACAUGGCAAACCCUCGUCUCUACUAAAAAUUCAAAAAUUAGCCAGGCAUGGUGGCGUGCACCUGUAAUCCCAGCUACUUGGGAUGCUGAGACACCAGAAUUGCUUGAACCUGGGAAGUGGAGGUUGCAUUGAGCUGAAAUUGUGCCACUGCACUCCAGCGUGGUUGACAGAGCAGGACCCUGUCUUAAAAAAAAAAAAAAAAAAAAGAAGGAAAAAGAAUAAAAGAAUGCCAGCCUCUUAUUGCUGUAGUAGUGUUUUAACAAAGAAUGAUAAUUCACUGACCAUCUAUAUCUGGUUAUAUCAUGUAGACUAACUCAUAAUAAACAGUACUCAAUAAGAAUAAAGCUGUGGCCAGGCAUGGUAGCUUAUACCUGUAAUCCCAGCACUUUGGGAGGCCGAGGCAGGUGAAUCACUUGAGCCCAGGAGUUUGGGACAAGUCUGGGCAACAUAGUGAAACCCCAUCUCUACUAAAAAUACCAAAAUUAGCCAAGUGUGGUGGCACACGCCUGUAGUCCCAGCUACAUCAGAAGCUGAGGCAGGAGGAUCACCUGAGCUCAUGAAGUUGAAGCUUCAGUGAAGUGAGAUCAUGCCACUUCACUCCAGCCUGG